AUUGAACGCUGGCGGCAGGCUUAACACAUGCAAGUCGAGCGGAUGAAGGGAGCUUGCUCCUGGAUUCAGCGGCGGACGGGUGAGUAAUGCCUAGGAAUCUGCCUGGUAGUGGGGGAUAACGUCUGGAAACGGGCGCUAAUACUGCCUACGUCCUGCGGGAGAAAGAGGGGGAUCUUUGGACCUUACGCUAUCAGAUGAGCCUAGGUCGGAUUAGUUAGUUGGUGGGGUAAAGGCCUACCAAGGGGACGAUCCGUAACUGGCCCGAGAGGAUGAUUAGUCACACUGGAACUGAGACAGGGUCCAGACGCCUACGGGAGGCAGCAGUGGGGAAUAGUGGACAGUGGGGGGAAACCUGAUCCAGCCAUGCCGCGUGUGUGAAGAAGGUCUUCGGAUUGUAAAGCACUUUAAGUUGGGAUGAAGGGCAGUAAGUUAAUACCUUGCUGUUUUGACGUUACCAACAGAAGAAGCACCGGCUAACUACGUG
This 484-nucleotide ribosomal RNA is filed under the name uncultured bacterium. Its description in RNAcentral is "partial 16S ribosomal RNA". It matches the Rfam family "Bacterial small subunit ribosomal RNA", at positions 30 to 507 of the family's 1533-position model. The record is from RNAcentral.